This 400-nucleotide ribosomal RNA is filed under the name uncultured archaeon. Its description in RNAcentral is "bacterial SSU rRNA". It matches the Rfam family "Archaeal small subunit ribosomal RNA", at positions 6 to 392 of the family's 1478-position model. The record is from RNAcentral.
GGUUGAUCCUGCCAGACCCGACUGCUAUCCGGGUAGGACUAAGCCAUGCAAGUCUAUGGACCUUCGGGUCCAUGGCGAACUGCUCAGUAACACGUGAUCAACUUACCCUAUGGUGGGGCAUAACCUCGGGAAACUGAGGAUAAUUCCCCAUAGUCGAGGAGGCCUGGAACGGUUCCUCGACGAAAGACCGUCCCUCUGGGGCGGAUCGCCAUAGGAUAGGAUCGCGCCCGAUUAUGGUUGUUGGUGGGGUAACGGCCCACCAAGCCUAUUAUCGGUAGGGGCCGUGAGAGCGGGAGCCCCGAGAUGGGCACUGAGACAAUGGCCCAGGCCUUACGAGGCGCAGCAGGCGCGAAACCUUCACAAUGCGCGAAAGCGUGAUGAAGUUACCAGGAGUGCCCCU